Molecule: ribosomal RNA, 442 nt
Filed under: uncultured bacterium
Lineage: Bacteria
Description: partial 16S ribosomal RNA
Rfam family: Bacterial small subunit ribosomal RNA
Source: RNAcentral
CCUACGGGUGGCAGCAGUGGGGAAUAUUGGGCAAUGGGCGCAAGCCUGACCCAGCAACGCCGCGUGAAGGAAGAAGGCUUUCGGGUUGUAAACUUCUUUUCUCAGGGACGAAGCAAGUGACGGUACCUGAGGAAUAAGCCACGGCUAACUACGUGCCAGCAGCCGCGGUAAUACGUAGGUGGCAAGCGUUAUCCGGAUUUACUGGGUGUAAAGGGGGCGUAGGCGGGGAUGCAAGUUGGGUGUUAAAUCUACGGGCUCAACUGGUAGUCGCACUCAAAACUGCAGCUCUUGAGUGAAGUAGAGGUAGGCGGAAUGCCUGGUGUAGCGGUGAAAUGCGUAGAUAUUAGGAGGAACACCGGUGGCGAAGGCGGCUUACUGGACUGUAACUGACGUUGAGGCUCGAAAGCGUGGGGAGCAAACAGGAUUAGAUACCCUGGUAGUC